RNAcentral lists this long non-coding RNA (684 nucleotides) under Gossypium raimondii (Peruvian cotton). Its description in RNAcentral is "long non-coding RNA (GRAI_LNC010119)". Lineage: Eukaryota; Viridiplantae; Streptophyta; Magnoliopsida; Malvales; Malvaceae. The record is from RNAcentral.
UGGUUAUGUUUCUGUUGAGGUUUCUCCCAGACUUGCUGAUGAUACUAAUGGGACCAUUGAGGCAGCCAAAUAUCUUCAUGAAGUGGUUGAUCGUCCCAAUGUGUACAUUAAGAUCCCUGCAACAGCACCAUGCAUUCCUUCAAUCAAGGAAGUUAUUGCGAAUGGCAUAAGUGUGAACGUCACUGUAUGUUAUUUCUGAUUUCCUGGCUUAACUUGAAGUAGAAGAUAUGGUCUUUUGCUACACUCAUUUGUUUCUUAAACGUUCUUACGAGUUUUUACUGUUAAUACUUGUUUUAGCAAUUACUGCUUUUGAUGAGCCAUUGGCUAUAACUCAAGAACCAUUUUUACCCAAUCAGCAAAGUUUUUGAGUGGGUCAUUAUAGUUCUGGGCUUGUUCCACUGAAGUUGUAGAUAAUGGUGGUGAUAUAUUGCCUUUACACCGUACUAUAUAUGUUUCUUUUUAUGUUCUAAUCUUAAUUUUCAUUUCUUAUGUGUAUGUACAGCUCAUAUUUUCGCUUGCUAGAUACGAGGCUGUCAUUGAUGCUUACUUGGACGGCCUUGAGGAUUCUGGGUUGAGUGAUCUCUCCAGGGUUACUAGUGUAGCUUCCUUCUUUGUCAGUAGGGUAGACACCCUCAUUGACAAAAUGCUUGAAAUGAUUGGAACACCAGAAGCCCUUGAUCUCCG